AAAAAGGGUUGGUUGGCUAAAUAUGCCAUGCCCGCCCUAGUUAGGUGGGUGCUGUACGGCUAUCAAGACAUACGGCUGACAUAAUUUGGGACUUCUAUAGGGUUGGCUAAAAAAAAAACUCAGGCUUAUUUAUUUAUUUAUUU
Rhododendron vialii is the source of this 143-nucleotide small nuclear RNA. RefSeq annotates it as U11 spliceosomal RNA. The record is from RefSeq and is a predicted model, not a curated record. Lineage: Eukaryota; Viridiplantae; Streptophyta; Magnoliopsida; Ericales; Ericaceae. The transcript has a single exon.